GUGGGGAAUAUUGCGCAAUGGGGGAAACCCUGACGCAGCGACGCCGUGUGAGGGAAGAAGGCUUUCGGGUCGUAAACCUCUGUCAGAAAGGAAGAACCUCCCAAGUCCGAAUAGGGCUUGGGACUGACGGUACUUUCAAAGGAAGCACCGGCUAACUCCGUGCCAGCAGCCGCGGUAAUACGGAGGGUGCAAGCGUUAAUCGGAAUCACUGGGCGUAAAGCGCGCGUAGGCCGCUUUGUAAGUCGGACGUGAAAGCCCUCGGCUCAACCGGGGAACUGCGUUCGAUACCGCGAGGCUUGAGUCCUGGAGAGGGUGGCGGAAUUCCGGGUGUAGGAGUGAAAUCCGUAGAUAUCCGGAGGAACACCGGUGGCGAAGGCGGCCACCUGGACAGGUACUGACGCUGAGGCGCGAAAGCGUGGGGAGCAAACAGGAUUAGAUACCCGGGUAGUCC
This 451-nucleotide ribosomal RNA is filed under the name uncultured bacterium. RNAcentral's name for it is "partial 16S ribosomal RNA". It matches the Rfam family "Bacterial small subunit ribosomal RNA", at positions 354 to 796 of the family's 1533-position model. The record is from RNAcentral.